CCUACGGGUGGCAGCAGUGAGGAAUAUUGGUCAAUGGACGAGAGUCUGAACCAGCCAAGUAGCGUGAAGGAUGACUGCCCUAUGGGUUGUAAACUUCUUUUAUAAAGGAAUAAAACGAGGCACGUGUGCCUUUUUGCAUGUACUUUAUGAAUAAGGAUCGGCUAACUCCGUGCAAGCAGCCGCGGUAAUACGGAGGAUCCGAGCGUUAUCCGGAUUUAUUGGGUUUAAAGGGAGCGUAGAUGGGUUGUUAAGUCAGUUGUGAAAGUUUGCGGCUCAACCGUAAAAUUGCAAUUGAUACUGGCAGUCUUGAGUACAGUUGAGGUAGGCGGAAUUCGUGGUGUAGCGGUGAAAUGCUAGAUAUCACGAAGAACCCCGAUUGCGAAGGCAGCUUACUAAACUGUGACUGACAUUGAUGCUCGAAAGUGUGGGUAUCAAACAGGAUUAGAUACCCGUGUAGUC
This 459-nucleotide ribosomal RNA is filed under the name uncultured bacterium. Its description in RNAcentral is "partial 16S ribosomal RNA". It matches the Rfam family "Bacterial small subunit ribosomal RNA", at positions 338 to 795 of the family's 1533-position model. The record is from RNAcentral.